AUUGAACGCUGGCGGCAUGCCUUACACAUGCAAGUCGAACGGCAGCACGGGUGCUUGCACCUGGUGGCGAGUGGCGAACGGGUGAGUAAUACAUCGGAACAUGUCCUGUAGUGGGGGAUAGCCCGGCGAAAGCCGGAUUAAUACCGCAUACGAUCUAUGGAUGAAAGCGGGGGACCUUCGGGCCUCGCGCUAUAGGGUUGGCCGAUGGCUGAUUAGCUAGUUGGUGGGGUAAAGGCCUACCAAGGCGACGAUCAGUAGCUGGUCUGAGAGGACGACCAGCCACACUGGGACUGAGACACGGCCCAGACUCCUACGGGAGGCAGCAGUGGGGAAUUUUGGACAAUGGGGGCAACCCUGAUCCAGCCAUUCCGCGUGAGUGAAGAAGGCCUUCGGGUUGUAAAGCUCUUUCGGCAGGAACGAAACGGUGAGGGCUAAUACCCCUUAUCAAUGACGGUACCUGAAGAAGAAGCACCGGCUAACUACGUGCCGGCAGCCGCGGUAAUACGUAGGGUGCGAGCGUUAAUCGGAAUUACUGGGCGUAAAGCGUGCGCAGGCGGUUUUGUAAGACAGAUGUGAAAUCCCCGGGCUUAACCUGGGAACUGCGUUUGUGACUGCAAGACUUGAGUGCGGCAGAGGGGGGUGGAAUUCCACGUGUAGCAGUGAAAUGCGUAGAGAUGUGGAGGAACACCGAUGGCGAAGGCAGCCCCCUGGGUCGACACUGACGCUCAUGCACGAAAGCGUGGGUAGCAAACAGGAUUAGAUACCCUGGUAGUCCACGCCCUAAACGAUGCGAACUAGGUGUUGGGGAAGGAGACUUUCUUAGUACCGCAGCUAACGCGUGAAGUUCG
RNAcentral lists this ribosomal RNA (848 nucleotides) under uncultured bacterium oxSCC-3. RNAcentral's name for it is "bacterial SSU rRNA". It matches the Rfam family "Bacterial small subunit ribosomal RNA", at positions 28 to 868 of the family's 1533-position model. The record is from RNAcentral.